UGCCAUUAGCACUUGGGAUAUUUCAACUCCCUAAGUCAGAAUAAGAUUAAUCAUCAUGCAUUUACUGUAUUCAAAAUUAAAUCCUAUGGCUCAAACAUCUUUUGAAUUCCAAGUUCUAAACUGAUAUAUAAAGAGGGUGAGAGUCCCAAGACCUGAAAGAGGAUAGGAGUAGAUGAAACUGAAAAGGGUUAAAGUGCAGAGCCACCGGUGAUAGGGAAAAGCCACCAGGAGGUGUGAGUGGAGUGACCUGUGGUCAGGUGGGGGUUGGGGCAAUGGUGAAAAGGUACCUCCCUUAAGUUGAAAAGGCAUUCAUUGAGCUCUUGCUGUGUGCCAGAUUUAAGGUAGAUGCUGAGUAUGCAAAUGUAACUCAUGCUUCACUGAGCUCUACUAACCAACAAAUUCUACCCUGUUCUUUCUGGGCAUCCCAGGUGAUACAUCACAGGGGCUCAUGAAUGUGUCUUAAGCUGGGUCAUUGAAGUGGAAUGUUUUCACAAGACCUCCUCCACUUGCUACUGUGUCCGGAAUUGGUGGGUUCUUGGUCUCACUGACUUCAAGAAUGAAGCCGCGGACCCUCGCGGGAGUGGCAAAUCAAAGGCAUUGCAGCCUCUUUCAUCACUGCCGAUUGCUGAUGCCAACCAUGUGCCAAGUGCUUAAUACGUCACCUUAAAUCUUCUCAUCCACCCUCAGAGUAGCUGCAGCAUCAACCCAGUGCCCUGACUUUCAAGACGACUAUGAAAACACCCCAACUGCUGCUAAAUUACCAGCAACAAGGAUCUGACAUUCUUAUUCAAAAGAAAGAACACCGAAAUUGACCUUACCCUGACAAUAUGAUGGCUGAAGGAUUUAUGAUCACUUAUAACAUUUGAAAUUGAGGCGGAACCUGAAGAAUAAGACUCUGGUGAAAGGUCCUAUUUAUGCUUUUGAUGUCUUUCACUUGGACAUUUACCACAUGCCUAUUGGUAGGUUUGUUACAUAGGUCAGUUAAGGUGAUACAAGAAUAAAUAAAACACUAUCCCUAUCCUUUAAUAUCAUUUAUUUAUGGGGUCAAUCACAGAUUUUCAUUUUUCAAAAUCUUUGAUAAAUGUCAGAAUUAUGUUUUUUAAUAUUUUUACAGAAUUAUUACAAUAUAUGGUAGAGGAUGGAAGGCAAGGUAGUAUGAAACGGAAAAGAUAUUUUGAAUUAAGGUAUUUGGACCUGGAUUAAUAUUUUUGCUUUGGUCUUUAUUAGCUGAGUGACCUUGAGAAAGUUCUUCUACUAAAAAAGAACAAAGAUAAUAAUUACUUCAUGAAAUUGCUGUAAAAAACACAUAACAAGUAUAUCCAGACUCAACAGUGUAUGCUCAAAAAUGCAGAUCCUUUUUCCCUUACCUGCAAAUAAAGUCUUACAGUAAUACAGUGGGGGUAAAGGUUUAAACUGGUGGAUUCAAGAAGGGCUAUAGAAAGAGGUAGCAUCUUAAUAGGGGAAGGAGAGGAUCCAAGAAAUCAGAUCCAUUUUCUACAAAAAGAAAUGGGAAGACAGAUAAUUCAAGAAGAAAAGUUUACAUGAUUAAAGACCCGAAGUUAGAAAUAGUGAUGUGUCUCAAUAGUAAGUUAGGAAUUGGGGUGGACACAAUUGUUGGAAGAAGGAUGGUUUCAGCAAAGGCCCAAGUUAGGUGACAAUUUCAAGUGUUUGUGAAGAUAUAUGAACAAAAUUAUAAAGUAGUUAGGGUAUAAGAAAUAGGGAGGAGGGAAUGAAUUAACAUUUAUGGAGUGUCUUGCAUGUUCCAAGCACUGUACUACUUGCCUUAUAAACCUUUCUUCAAUAAACGCCUACAACAA
RNAcentral lists this long non-coding RNA (1817 nucleotides) under Homo sapiens (human). RNAcentral's name for it is "PREDICTED lncRNA (TCONS_00261796)". Lineage: Eukaryota; Metazoa; Chordata; Mammalia; Primates; Hominidae. The record is from RNAcentral.